GAUGAACGCUGGCGGCGUGCCUAAUACAUGCAAGUCGAGCGAACAGACGAGGAGCUUGCUCCUCUGUCGUUAGCGGCGGACGGGUGAGUAACACGAGGAUAACCUACCUAUAAGACUGGGAUAACUUCGGGAAACCGGAGCUAAUACCGGAUAAUAUAUUCAACCGCAUGGUUCAAUAGUGAAAGUCGGUUUUGCUGUCACUUAUAGAUGGAUCCGCGCCGCAUUAGCUAGUUGGUAAGGUAAAGGCUUACCAAGGCAACGAUGCGUAGCCGACCCAAGAGGGUGAUCGGCCACACGGGAACUGGGACACGCUCCGGACUCCUGCGGAAGGCAGCAGCAGGGAAUCUUGCGCAGUGGUCGCAAACCUGACGGAGCAACGGGGCGUGAGUGAUGAGGGUCUUCGGAUCGUAAAACUCUGUUAUUAGGGAAGAACAAGUGUGUAAGUAACUAUGCACGUGUUGACGGUACCUAAUCAGAAAGCCACGGCUGACUACGUG
RNAcentral lists this ribosomal RNA (497 nucleotides) under uncultured bacterium. RNAcentral's name for it is "partial 16S ribosomal RNA". It matches the Rfam family "Bacterial small subunit ribosomal RNA", at positions 28 to 507 of the family's 1533-position model. The record is from RNAcentral.